Molecule: unclassified non-coding RNA, 336 nt
Filed under: soil metagenome
Description: partial contains 5.8S ribosomal RNA, internal transcribed spacer 2, and large subunit ribosomal RNA
Rfam family: 5.8S ribosomal RNA (bases 1-120)
Source: RNAcentral
GAUGAAGAACGCAGUGAAAUGCGAUAAGUAGUGUGAAUUGCAGAAUUCAGUGAAUCAUCGAAUCUUUGAACGCACAUUGCGCCCCUUGGUAUUCCAUGGGGCAUGCCUGUUCGAGCGUCAUUUGUACCUUCAAGCUUUGCUUGGUGUUGGGUGUUUGUCUCGCCUUUGCGUGUAGACUCGCCUUAAAAUAAUUGGCAGCCGGCGUAUUGAUUUCGGAGCGCAGUACAUCUCGCGCUUUGCACUCAUAACGACAGCGUCCAAAAGUACAUUUUACACUCUUGACCUCGGAUCAGGUAGGGAUACCCGCUGAACUCAAGCAUAUCAAUAAGCGGAGGA